Long non-coding RNA from Sander lucioperca (pikeperch), 224 nucleotides. RefSeq lists it as uncharacterized. The record is from RefSeq and is a predicted model, not a curated record. The transcript is spliced from 6 exons. Lineage: Eukaryota; Metazoa; Chordata; Actinopteri; Perciformes; Percidae.
AGACAGUGACUGGUCUUCACAUCGACCUCACAGCUUCGGGACGCGGACAUGAUGUCACAGAGUCGUCCCCCAUCUUCCUCUACACGGACACAGGUGUGUUCUCCCACACAGAUCUGGUUACCAUGGCAACAGACUCCACAGGGACAGACACGGCAGCCGAUCCAACAGGAAGUCCUCUGGACCUCAGUCGUCCAGCUGUGACCGAUCACACCCAGACAGCUGGU